This 253-nucleotide ribosomal RNA is filed under the name uncultured bacterium. RNAcentral's name for it is "partial 16S ribosomal RNA". It matches the Rfam family "Bacterial small subunit ribosomal RNA", at positions 524 to 776 of the family's 1533-position model. The record is from RNAcentral.
UACAGAGGUCCCAAGCGUUGUUCGGAUUCAUUGGGCGUAAAGGGUGUGUAGGUGGCGCCGUAAGUCGGGUGUGAAAUUUCGGAGCUUAACUCCGAAAAUGCAUUCGAUACUGCGGUGAUUGAGGACUGGAGAGGAGAAUGGAAUUCAUGGUGUAGCAGUGAAAUGCGUAGAGAUCAUGAGGAAGAAAAGUGGAGAAGGAGGGUAUCUGGACAGUUCCUGACAAUGAGAAACGAAGGACAGGGGAGCAAACGGG